RNAcentral lists this unclassified non-coding RNA (725 nucleotides) under uncultured bacterium. RNAcentral describes it as "partial contains 16S ribosomal RNA and 16S-23S ribosomal RNA intergenic spacer region". The stretch from base 24 to 306 matches the Rfam family "Bacterial small subunit ribosomal RNA", at positions 61 to 347 of the family's 1533-position model. The record is from RNAcentral.
UUAACACAGGGAGUAAAGCGAGGGUCGCGGUGUGAGCAAUCAUGUCGUGACUUAACAGGCGGACGGGAGAGUAACACGUGGGUGACCUGCCCUCGAGACCGGGACACCUCCUCGAGAGGGGGGCUAAUACUGGAUACGUUCUCCGGGUUGCAAGACCUGGGGAGGAAAGGCUGCUCACAAGGGCUGCCGCUCGUGGAGGGGCUUGCGGCCUCUCAUCUAAUUGGUAUGGUAACCGCACUACUAGAUGAUGAUUGUUUUUUUACCCCUCAAUCUUUUAAAGCUAUGACACUCUUUUUUCUACAUCAAUAUAUUAUGUUUAUAUAUCUUUCUUUAGUGUAGGUACACGACGAGACUCGUUCCCCCUCCCACGCCCCCGGCUGGUCAGGCGCCCCCGAACACUCUCUCUCACACGCUCCAUCUACACCUGCUGGUAAGCAAGAGAACAUUAAGUGCACGAGUCUGCCACCGCGCGGGGUUAGAGGUCUGGACCGGGAGCAAACCGAAUAAAACUGUGGGAAUCCAUCACGGCCUUACCGUCCACAGGGCUGAACCUUAUGGUUGCCAGUUCUUUAUUACUUGCCUCUUAUAAAUUUAUAGAAAAAAAUAAUUCAUGUAAAUUACUUGCAAUAGAAUAGAGUAUGUAAAAAAGAACGUGCAUGGUAGUGAUAGCGAAGCUCUAAAUUAAUAUAUCGAUAGAAGUAGAGACUAAGCCGAGUUGUCACAAC